AUCUGAGGUCUGACGAGGAUGAGAACCUCCGGGGGCAAGAGGUUCGACUCGAGCGAAGCGAGAGAACGUUGCGUCAGCAACGGCCCGCAGGGCGAGCCACGCUCUAUCACCGGCAGGUUGACGCUCGCACCACCA
This 135-nucleotide small RNA is filed under the name Salmonella enterica. RNAcentral describes it as "RtT sRNA". It matches the Rfam family "RtT RNA". From Rfam's summary of the family: This family represents a bacterial cis-regulatory element known as RtT RNA. Lineage: Bacteria; Pseudomonadati; Pseudomonadota; Gammaproteobacteria; Enterobacterales; Enterobacteriaceae. RNAcentral also lists the same sequence under 1 other name. The record is from RNAcentral.